Non-coding RNA from Podarcis lilfordi (Lilford's wall lizard), 81 nucleotides. Lineage: Eukaryota; Metazoa; Chordata; Lepidosauria; Squamata; Lacertidae. The record is from the annotation of a GenBank genome assembly.
GCCUAACUGCUGGGAUAGCUCAGUCAGUAGAGCAUGAGACUCUUAAUCUCUGGGUCGGGCGUUCGAGCCCCACAAUGGGCA